UACGUAGGGGGCGAGCGUUAUCCGGAAUUAUUGGGCGUAAAGAGUACGUAGGUGGUUUUGUAAGCGUGGGGUGAAAGACCGAAGCUUAACUUCGGUUAGCCUUGCGAACUGCAGGACUUGAGUGCAGGAGAGGAAAGUGGAAUUCCUAGUGUAGCGGUGAAGUGCGUAGAUAUUAGGAGGAACACCAGUGGCGAAGGCGACUUACUGGACUGUAACUGACGCUGAGUCACGAAAGCGUGGGUAGCAAACAGGAUUAGAUACCCUGGUAGUCCCUGAGCGGG
RNAcentral lists this ribosomal RNA (281 nucleotides) under uncultured prokaryote. RNAcentral describes it as "partial 16S ribosomal RNA". It matches the Rfam family "Bacterial small subunit ribosomal RNA", at positions 524 to 803 of the family's 1533-position model. The record is from RNAcentral.